Molecule: RNA transcript, 1842 nt
Organism: Neofelis nebulosa (Clouded leopard)
Lineage: Eukaryota; Metazoa; Chordata; Mammalia; Carnivora; Felidae
Gene: ELP4
Gene name: elongator acetyltransferase complex subunit 4
Exons: 11
Source: RefSeq, a predicted model, not a curated record
UUGAGUUCCCAGAGUUCCUAUUGGGUCAACGCGGGAAGCUCCAAGAUGGCGGCAGUGGCGACCUGCGGCACCGGCGCUGGGAGUACUGGAUCUAUGGUGGCGGCAGGCGGCAAGAACAACGUCACCAGUUUCCAAAGGAGGGGUCCUAGAGCAAGCGGUUCUGACAGCAGCUAUUCUCGACUGGUGUCCAUCGCGGGCACACGACCGUCGGUACGGAAUGGACAGCUGCUGGUAUCAACUGGGCUCCCAGCCCUGGACCAGCUCUUAGGUGGAGGUUUGGCCGUCGGAACAGUUCUUCUAAUUGAAGAGGAUAAAUAUAAUAUUUAUUCUUCUUUGCUCUUCAAGUAUUUCCUGGCAGAGGGAAUCAUCAAUGGGCAUACUUUGUUGGUUGCAUCUGCAAAAGAAGACCCGGCUGAUAUUUUACAGGAACUUCCUGCACCAUUACUUGAUGAUAAUGUUAAAAAAGAUUUUGACGAAGAUGCAUGUAAUCAUAAAACAGCAGAAUCUAACAUUAAAAUGAAAAUAGCUUGGCGUUACCAGUUAUUACCCAAGAUGGAGGCUGGACCAGUAUCAUCUUCAAGAUUUGGUCACUAUUAUGAUGCAUCAAAAAAGAUGCCACAAGAACUAAUUGAGGCUUCAAAAUGGCAUGGGUUUUUUUUCCCAGAAAAAUCAUCUUCAACUCUUAAUAUAGAACCAUGUUCUUUGACCCAUGGCUACAUAAAGCUGCUUCAGUUUAUCCAGAACAUCAUAUAUGAGGAAGGAUUUGAUGGAUCCAAUCCCCAGAAAAAACAGAAAAACAUUUUAAGAAUAGGAAUCCAGAAUCUUGGUUCACCUUUGUGGGGGGAUGACAUUUGCUGUACGGAAAAUGGCAACAGUCACAGCCUUACGAAGUUCCUGUACGUCCUCCGUGGUCUUCUGCGAACCUCUCUUUCGGCUUGUAUGAUCACAAUGCCAACACAUCUUAUCCAGAAUAAAGCAAUUAUUUCCCGUGUUACAAACUUGUCAGAUACAGUAGUUGGUCUGGAAUCAUUUAUUGGUUCUGAGAGAGAAACCAACCCAUUAUAUAAGGAUUAUCAUGGUUUGAUUCAUAUUCGGCAAAUUCCUCGGCUUAAUAACUUGAUUUAUGAUGUAUCCGAUGUCAAAGACUUAGCUUUUAAAUUAAAAAGGAAGCUAUUCACCAUUGAGAAGACAGAUCUGGGGUACAGCGGCAUCUGACCAUUUACAUGUCAAAUGUGUAAAUGCUUUGGAAGCCUCCAAGGAAAAGUCCCUCACACACCUGGCAAGCCGGAACCUGAUCUCUCCUUCUUCCUCCCUGCUUCACAUCGUACUGACAUGGCGCACAGGGGGAGGCUCAGAAAGGAAGAAAACAAAACCUACUGGUUGGGAAUUUAGAGUGCAUAGGAAGCUCAUUCAAGCAACAAUCACCAGAGCCAGCAAGAUCAUUCACCUAUUUCCAAGAGCCAUCGUUGGGCUCUUUCAAAGGACAUAAGUAUGCAACUCGCGUUCACAAUGUAGCAUUUGGUCAGAAGCAUUUCAUCAUAUCAACCAAAUUUUUUUUGUACUCAGAAGUUACACACGAAUGAUAGUUGACUUUUCUUCCAAGCCAUUCAACCUGAAAGAUUUCCAAGCAUGUCACACGUCACAUUUAGCUACUCUUGCUAUGAAGGGCUUUCAGCCAACUGGCCCACGUUCAUUGCCUAGAGAAGCAGAGGAAGAGAAAUUUUUAGCAAAUAGCGACUGCAUUUGCCUCCAGACUUGUCAGACACAGUGAGCCGCUCGAGCAAACAGGAUCUGGCAGAGCCCUCCAAGCUGCUGGGCCCAGGCUGUGGCGUGAUGGCCGGA